This 466-nucleotide ribosomal RNA is filed under the name uncultured bacterium. Its description in RNAcentral is "partial 16S ribosomal RNA". It matches the Rfam family "Bacterial small subunit ribosomal RNA", at positions 28 to 507 of the family's 1533-position model. The record is from RNAcentral.
GACGAACGCUGGCGGCGUGCUUAACACAUGCAAGUCGAACGGAAAGGCCCAGCUUGCUGGGUACUCGAGUGGCGAACGGGUGAGUAACACGUGGGUUAUCUGCCCUCAACUUUGUGAUAAGCCUGGGAAACUGGGUCUAAUACCGGAUAUGAUCAACUGUCGCAUGGUGGUUGGUGGAAAGCUUUUGCGGUUGAGGAUGGGCCUGCGGCCUAUCAGCUUGUUGGUGGGGUAAUGGCCUACCAAGGCGACGACGGGUAGCCGACCUGGGAGGGUGAUCGGCGUCCAGGGUACUGCGACACGCCGCAGGUUCGAACGGUGGGCAAGAGGGGGAAAUCUUGCCCAGUGGGCGCAAGCCGGAGAAAGCGGCGCCCCGGGGGGGAAGACGGCUUGCGGGGAAAAAAACGCUUUCACCUAGGACGAAGCUGGAGUGACGGUACCUAAAGAAGAAGCACCGGCCAACUACGUG